AGAAAGGGCGGGGUGGAGGAGGGGGAAGGGCGGGGGUGAUGCCGCGCGGUCGCAGGCUUGGGAUGGUGUUCGCGCCUCCGAGACCCGGACAGAGGCAAGCAGGGGCGCCGUGGGUGCCAGAGAGGCGGAAGAGGAGGCCUGAUGGGGCGCCAGGCAUCCUGUCUCCAGGAAGAAACCCCUGGGCCCCUGACCCUGGUUCUUUGGACCCAGGCAUCCCCCCAAAUAAACCUGGGAACUGCCCAGGCUGAAGAACAGUUCAGAAGUCACCCUACAGGACAAUCCACAGCCCCUUAGGCCAGUCCCUUUCACAGGUCAGCACAGUGUUUCCGGAGCCCCACGUAUCAACAGCCCAGUGCCGGGAGCGCCAGGGGCUCCAAGGAAACUAUCAGACCCAUUCCCUGUCCCCAGGAAGCUUACCAUCCAGCGGCACAGAGAAGGCUCACCAUGGACUCCAUUCAAGAACGAGGCAGGAUAGGAUGUGAAUAAGUGCAAGGUGUGAGUGACUGACAGUAAGUGCAAGGGGGUUCAGAGAAGUGGCAGCUCCAAGCCUGCUUCUGCUGAAGCUGGAGGGCUUAUCUGUCAAGAACCCCCAACUCAGGAAGCUCUGCUCCAAGUGAGCUGAGUAAGGAGAGUCUGCCUCCAAGUUGUUCCUCUGCAGGUGACUGUGCUCCAUGCUAAAUCAUUCCUUGCACGGGCAGAAGCUGUUUGGCAUUGCACCAGUGUCUGAUUUUGUUUGAAUAUGGUGCCUUUGGCUUAAUCAGUCAGACAUGCAUUCAACAACUAUUUAUUUAUUUAUUUAUUUAUUUAUUUAUUUAUUAUUUUGAGACAGAGUCUCGCUCUGUCGCCAGGCGGAGGUUGCAGUGAGCCGAGAUUGAGCCACUGCACUCCAGCCUGGCAACAGAGUGAGACUGUCUCAAAAAGUAAAUAAAUAGAAACUCUUGGUUCCAUGCGUAGUCUAGCAUUUUGUAGCACUUCUAAUCACGAAGUUAUUUUUAAUAUUUGUUUGGUCUGUUAUACAAAAUGUAGACUGGAUGGCUUAUAAACUACAGAAAUCUCUCACAGUUCUGUAGGCUAGAAAGUCUAAGAUGAAGAUGCCAGCAGCCUGCUUCCUGGUUCAUACAAGGUCAUCUUCUCACUGUAACCUCACAGUGAGAGGAAGGGCCUAGGGGUGACUCUGGGAUCUCUUUUAUGAGGCACUAAUCCCAUUAAUGGGGGCCCCCCACCCUCAUGGCCUAAUCACCUCCCAAAGGCCCCACGAUUGCCUUGGGUGUUAGGAUUUCCACAUAUGAAUUUUAGGGGAACACAGACGUUCAGGCCAUAGCAAAUAUCUUGCCCAAAUAUCUCUAGUUCCAUCCUUUUGGUCACUCUCAGACCAGAACAUUUACUGAGUGAUUACUAUGUCCCACAAAAUUCUUAUUUAACCCUCAGAAAAACCGUCUGGGGGAAGCAUUGUUAUCACUCCUAUUUCAUGAGCAGUUAUGUAACUUGCCCCAGAUAAGACUUGGUUAUGGCACAGAUUCUGUGUUGGAGCCUUCAGACCACUCUACUUCCCAAGCAGGGGAGGAACAGAACAUUAAAGAUUUUCUUGGCCUUGGCUUUCAUUUCUUCAUCGUGGUUCUGAAAGGAAAAUUGGCUACAGUCUUAAAUGUAUGUGUGGGCCCACGCUAGAAGCUCAGCUCUCAGUGCCAGCCACACUGAGCCCUGGUCUCCCUAACUUCCGGGCCUUUACUCUGCUUGUCAUUGGGCUGAUAACCAAGAUCCAGCCUAGAGCACAAGAAGACAAACGCUGCGUGAUCUCGUGUGUAGAACCUAACAAAGUGGAACUCACAGAAGCAGAGAGUAGAAUGGUGGUUGCCUGUUGGAAUGGGGAGAUGGUCAGAGAAUGCAAACUUUCAGUUGGAUGGGAGGAAGAAGUUCCAGAGAUCUAUUGUGCCACAUGGUGACAAUAGUUAAUAACAAUGUACUGGGCGGGGGGUGGUGGCCUACGCCUGUAAUCCCAGCACUUUGGGAAGCUGAGGCAGACAGAUCACUUGAGGUCAGGAGUUCUAGACCAGCUUGUCCAACAUGGUGAAACCCCGUCUCUACUAUAAAACUACAAAAUUAGCCAGGUGUGGUGGUGUGCGCCUGUAAUCUCAGCUACUUGGGAGGCUGAAUCGCUUGAACCCAGGAGGUGGAGGUUGCAGUGAGUCGAGACUGCGCCACUGCCCUCCAGCCUGGGUGACACAGUGAGACUCUGUUUCAAAAAAACAAAAAAAGCAAUGUACUGUAUACUUGAAAAUUGCUCACAGAGAUUUUAAAUGUUCUCACCAUUACAAAAUGAUAAAUAUGUGACAUAAUGCAUAUGUUAAUUAGCCCGAUUUAGUGAUUCCACAGUGUAUACAUAUAACAAAACAUGUUGUACACCAUAAAUGUAUACUAUUUUUAUUUGCCAAUUAAAUAUAUUUUUUUAAAGUU
Molecule: long non-coding RNA, 2454 nt
Filed under: Homo sapiens (human)
Lineage: Eukaryota; Metazoa; Chordata; Mammalia; Primates; Hominidae
Description: PREDICTED lncRNA (TCONS_00051040)
Source: RNAcentral